Long non-coding RNA from Alligator sinensis (Chinese alligator), 672 nucleotides. RefSeq lists it as uncharacterized. The record is from RefSeq and is a predicted model, not a curated record. The transcript has 3 exons. NCBI's taxonomy places the organism in Eukaryota, Metazoa, Chordata, Crocodylia, Alligatoridae.
UGGUAUAUGUUGUGACUAGCCGUUGUCACCUUCAAGCUGUAUAUUAGGCUGCCUGCAGUGGAAGUUUAUCCAAUUUAAUAUUACCAGAACUGGACCCUUAAGAAGGACAAUGAAAAACCUAAAUGGAGGCACAGAAACCCUGCUGCAAAACCCACUGUGGGCAAUCUCCACGCAGAUCUCAUUUCCCUGUUCUUUGCGUCCCCCAGCUACAGCACAGCACUUCAGCAUGUAAUGAAUGGUGUUAUGAACAAUCUGCUUUAUGUAACCGAGACUGAGCAGUUAAUGCAUCCCAGCACAGAUCCAGAAGUACAAGGCAGAGCCUUGCUGUGGGCUUGUGGUGACACCUGUCUCAGUCACGUGGUCAUUUGGGCUGUUGCAUCAUUCCCUUGCAUGGCAUGAGUUGGAGAAGCUGAUGUAUCUUAACCAUCCCAGCUUGAGAGGAUCCUUUUUUUAACCAGGAUUUCAAUUGUAGUUUUUGCUUGGAAGAGCAUGCAGUACAAAACACUGGAUCCUGAUCAUCGGGAAGCAAUACAUAGACUUUUUCUCCCAAUAGACUGAGUUCUCUUACAGAAAAUCAUGUCAACGUCUAAUUGACAUCGAUAGCACAAGAAGUGUGAUUGACUGACAGGCUUUAAUGGAAGAGAGCUGGAUAAGACCACAUAAGCUCUCAAU